This is a long non-coding RNA of Corapipo altera (White-ruffed manakin), 3797 nucleotides long. RefSeq lists it as uncharacterized. The record is from RefSeq and is a predicted model, not a curated record. The transcript is spliced from 3 exons. Lineage: Eukaryota; Metazoa; Chordata; Aves; Passeriformes; Pipridae.
GAGGUUGGUUGCUGUUCUUGACAUAAGAUUUUACUAGAAAGCUGCAUUUUUAAUCUUCUGAAAUGCAAGAAUAAAAUGUCACCUGACUCUUCAGCAGUUUAAGACACUGAAGUCUGAAAGUCCCUUUUCAGUGCACUUUCCCAGUAAAUAUUGAAGAGAAUUUUGUUGUUGUGUUGUCACCGUGGAGGUGUCACAGCUCUAAAAAUGCUUCCUGUCAAGUCACAGUAAAAUGUGUCUCUCAGUACCUCCACAGGUCCCUUUCCCAGUGUUUGUGGUGGGAUGCCACUCCACAGAACCUGGAGUGGGAAAGGGGUACAGUGAAGUACCUGCUGUGGGUGGGGCUGUCACUGCUGGGAGCAUAUGGAGGAAGCUCAGCUGUUGUUUGUGUCCGUCCCUCUGCUCCUGCCAUGCUGGAUUUGAUGGACAAAUGGUGCUUGAGCAAGGGGAGUUCCCAAACUGUGCAAGGGUUGUUCUGGAAUGGCAGUUGUUUGGUGCAGUUUUAUUGGAGUGACAGACUGACAGGUGCAGUUAAAAAAUGACUCGCGUCUUGAUCAUCUGUGUUUUUCUUUCUUCAGGUUUCAAAUGCCCACAAUUACUAAAAUAGAGAGAAAACAGGGAAGAAGAGCCGCACAACACUCUGGAGGUGAGGGUGAGUUACCUGGGUGUGGUCUGUGUGACUCCAGAGCUGUCAGGAACUUCUGAACCAGGGCUCUCUUUGGCUUUUAUAUCACAGCUGAGGGAGAGAAACUUCCUUGUUACAGAAAGGUCAGUCACAAAAACCAGAAGACAAUUUUUCUCCUGCUCUUCAGUGCAAAACCAGACUCUGUUCAGACAGUGAGAGGUUAUCUAAUAACACUGUUGAUAAAGACAGUCAAAUAGGACAGACUGUGUAUUGUUGUAAAUAUAUGAAGUAAAUGCUGUCCGAUUUUUCUAAUUUGUUCCUGGAAAAAAAUGUAGAAAUCUUGUUGGAGCUGCCUGACAUUGAGGUGGGAAGUUAUCUCAAGCAAAGUGUUUAUAACUAGCAUUUACAGAGCUGAGUAAAUGAGGAAAAUGUGUUUCUGUAAACUCCAGCAGAAAGCACUUUUAGGUAGAUCAGUUCCAGUGCAACAGAAAAGAGGCAACAGCUGAGACCACAGCAAGUAACAGGUACUUUAUAAUGAAAAAUACUAAAUCUGCUUUUUAAAUAAAUCUGGUUUGAAAACAAAGCCCAGCCCAUAAAGGACUGGCCACAUGCUUUACCUACUAGUCUAAUUCAGCUUUCUAACAACUCUCUGCUUUAUCUGUGAGUACAGUGUGUAGUUAUGACCUGUGCUCUGUAGCAUUUACAGUGCACAGUCUACAAAUACACCCCCAAGCCCUGAGGAGCUGAGCCUGCUAUACCUCCAGUACAGCCACCUGUCCUGAGCAGCAGACUGGGCUCGUUUUGAACAGGUUGCUCGUGCCUCUCUGCUCCAGUGUGGGGAACAGGUGUGCUGUUUUCACUGGGAUUUACCAUCCUGCCAGCUGCAUAUGCAAAACACAUCAUUUGCCUAAUGGUGGCCUUUGUCAGGGAACUGUCCCACCACACCCAGGGCCUCCUGUUCAGAGUCUGUGUCUGUCCUCAGGGGCGUUCCCUGCUGUGUUUUGCUGUGCCAGGGAGUUGAGGAAACACAGAUUGGUGUCACUGAGGGCAUGGUCAGUAGAUGUGCACUGCCCUUGCGUGGCUGACACCAGCCCACAGUAACUGUGCCCAUCAGUAAUUCACAUUUCUACUCUUUGCAGCCUCUCCAGAGCCCUGCCCAGCACAACCACAGCGAGGCAUCCCGUGCUCUUGGGGCACCUGCAGUCAGGACCCCUGCCCAGUAAGGCACAGAUCACUUCAGGACUGGCUGAAGAACAGGAGUUAGUCAAGAAAAGCUGAAGUCCACAGAGGGAUGGCAUCCUGCUCUUCUGAGGGAAAAGUGAGUCCUCAGUGUGUUCCCAGACCUCCUCACUGUCAGACUGAACCUUUUCUGGGUGCAGAGUAGCAGAAAGUAAAGCAGUUGUAGUGGCUGUGAACUCCUUCCAACAGCUCUGAUGGCCCAGAGGUUUCUUUCAGUCCUGAAAGAAAUAAGCAGCUAGUUAGAAACAAACUUAGUUCUGUUUUAAAACAAAACUACCUGUUAUAAAGCAUGUUACUUGUUUUCUUCAGUAGCCUGAGUGUCUGAGGGAACCAGUGAGCCCUUCCUCUGUACCAAACUCUUUAUUUUGUAACUUUUUUAUUAAUGUUUAAUUGCUUGACAUUUCACUAGGUUGCAAUGCAACUUGGUGAGUUUUAGGCAUCAGUAAUAAAACUCUGCUGUUUGCCAAUGACCUCUGCCUUUUACUUACUUAAUCCUACUGCAGGUAACCUACACCAGGUGUGUUACCCUUCGACUGUCUCUUGGUUGUAUCCCCCCAAACCACACUGUUAACCCCCAUGUCCAUGUGCUGCUGUGUCAUUCCACCUGCAGGCACCAGAACACCUGGUUGGGGACCAGCACCUUGACAUUUCUCCAGCCUUGGACUUUAUUUUGAGUCUGGUGUAAGCAGACUCAGCACCACGAGCCCGUGCCCUGUAACAGAAAUAGCUUCUGCAGCCCUAUUUUCUAUUUGCACUCUGAAUCACUGCCUAAAGUGUCACCACUUUUCUGCAUUCCUGGGUUAGCCACUGCCCUGGCUCAAGCUGAGUUUCGGGGAUGUGGUGUUUAGUAUGUUUUAGUAAUAGCUUGGAGUCAUUAAUGCUGCUGAUUCAAAGGAGCACUGCCCACCCAAAACCCUCCUCACCUGAGAGCACAACAGGGACACAUCCCUCCCACCUGCCCAGUACAGCAACACCCUGGGGACUGGUGUUAGAGCAAUGCUGCUGCUUUUGUUCAAGAGUUGAAUUACCAUGAGAGCCUCUCUCAGCUGCCAGUUUGGCCAAUACUUGCUUUGGAGUUAAACUGAACACUUGGGGAUUGCUGGGAGGGAACAGCCCCUCUCCAGGUAAACUUACGUGUUUCCAUAUCUCCCCAGUCCUCUCAAUGACAAUAGUUUGGGAUUUAUUGACAGGUGAUGUGACCUUGUAGUCAUCAGACAGGAGGCCCAGAAUAGGGUACUGAUUCCUGUACCUGUGAAAGAGAAUUGCCACCUUGUAGAAUGAGAUCUGCAGACCUGUGUCCAAAUCCCUAACUGUGACCUUGCCCCACAGCCCUGCCAGUCCUUAAUCCCCAAAGAGCUGCACAAAGCCAGCAGAGACAUUUCAGUGUCACUGUGACACAUUGGACCCCUCUCCCAGUGCUGAACCCUCCCUGUACAGGAAAACCUCUCUUGUCUUUUUCCCCUUUAGAUUGAACGGGCAGGAUUAAGACAUUUGCAGGAACAGCUUGAUUAGCAGAGAGGAAAGAAAGGAGAACCCAAAGGAUGUAUUUUUAAGGAAGGUGAAUAACCACGUUACUUUUUAGUGAUGAUGGCUGUCACUCCAGGGGACUGACUGCCCGAUAACUUCUCGUGCUUCAGUCUGAAGAGCUCCUGGGAAAACCAACAGAAAACAUUCACAGGAAGUAAUGUUUUCUGAAGCAUCAGUUCAGUAAAGUCGCUACAAAAUAUUUGCAGAAAUUCUUCCCAGGGAACAGUCUGAAAAGUCUGUCCUUCCAGAAGGCUGGCAGAGGAUUCAGUUAGAACAAAUCCUAACCCUGAUUCCUGAGCCAGGGGAGGACAAGUGACUUCCCAGUGAGCUUCCACCUACACAGGACCUGGAGGUUUUAAUACACAAACUCUUAAAAGAGAAACAACUUGUGUUAUUUUACCUCUUGCUG